GAUGAACGCUGGCGGCGUGCCUAAUACAUGCAAGUCGAGCGAAUGGAUUAAGAGCUUGCUCUUAUGAAGUUAGCGGCGGACGGGUGAGUAACACGUGGGUAACCUGCCCAUAAGACUGGGAUAACUCCGGGAAACCGGGGCUAAUACCGGAUAACAUUUUGAACCGCAUGGUUCGAAAUUGAAAGGCGGCUUCGGCUGUCACUAAUGGAUGGACCCGCGUCGCAUUAGCUAGGUGAUGAGGUAACGGCUCACCAAGGCAACGAUGCCUAGCCGACCUGGGAGGGUGAUCGGCCACACUGGGACUGAGACACGGCCCAGACUCCUACGGGAGGCAGCAGUAGGGAAUCUUCCGCAAUGGACGAAAGUCUGACGGAGCAACGCCGCGUGAGUGAUGAAGGCUUUCGGGUCGUAAAACUCUGUUGUUAGGGAAGAACAAGUGCUAGUUGAAUAAGCUGGCACCUUGACGGUACCUAACCAGAAAGCCACGGCUAACUACGUGCCAGCAGCCGCCGUAA
Molecule: ribosomal RNA, 515 nt
Filed under: uncultured bacterium
Lineage: Bacteria
Description: partial 16S ribosomal RNA
Rfam family: Bacterial small subunit ribosomal RNA
Source: RNAcentral